GAUGAACGCUAGCGGCAGGCUUAAUACAUGCAAGUCAAGGGGGUAGCAAUACAACCGGCGCACGGGUGAGUAACGCGUACACAACAUACCAUAUACUGGGGUAUAGCUUUGGGAAACUGAAGGUAAUCCCCCAUAACAUUGCGAGAGGGCAUCUGAUUGCAAUUAAAGUUUCGACGGUAUAUGAUUGGUGUGCGUUUGAUUAGCUAGUUGGUAGGGUAACGGCCUACCAAGGCAACGAUCAAUAGCUGGCGUGAGAGCGCGACCAGCCACACUGGAACUGAGACACGGUCCAGACUCCUACGGGAGGCAGCAGUAGGGAAUAUUGGACAAUGGGCGAAAGCCUGAUCCAGCCAUGCCGCGUGAUAGAUGAAGGCCCUCUGGGUUGUAAAUAUCUUUUAUCUGGGAAGAAACACUUCUAUUCUUAGAAGCUUGACGGUACCAGAGGAAUAAGCACCGGCUAACUCCGUGCCAGCCGCCGCGGUAAUACCAGACACG
Molecule: ribosomal RNA, 495 nt
Filed under: uncultured bacterium
Lineage: Bacteria
Description: bacterial SSU rRNA
Rfam family: Bacterial small subunit ribosomal RNA
Source: RNAcentral